This is a long non-coding RNA of Sipha flava (yellow sugarcane aphid), 762 nucleotides long. RefSeq lists it as uncharacterized. The transcript is spliced from 3 exons. NCBI's taxonomy places the organism in Eukaryota, Metazoa, Arthropoda, Insecta, Hemiptera, Aphididae. The record is from RefSeq and is a predicted model, not a curated record.
UUUGAUUUAUCAAACUCAGUUAUGAUAGUAAUAAUAAAGUACUUUUUUUUUAACGUUUUAAAACACGAAGUCUCUUAGUCGUCCAGAGCACUCAACGUGGUGGUACAGUUAUAGAAAUGACCUUCAAUGUGGACCAAUUCUACUGAUGAACACGAGAAAGCGGAGGAACUAUAGUUUUCAUUAAAAACGUAACAUGUAAAAUUUAUAUCUGUAACAAAUGGCGUCGUCUAUUCAGUAUUUAUAUACGAAUGCAACUAAUAUUAUUUAUCGACUACUUAGAUACAGCAGCUCUGUUUCUGUCUCAAUAGGGGAAAAAAAAAGGAACAAAUGUUUUGCUGUAAAGCUGUAUUAUCGUCUGGAUAAAAAAAAAACAUUCAACAGAUCAAAUGCUUUACCGGGGUGGUACGCAUUUUAACUGAUCAUAUUACACGUCAAUGUAUUCCAAGGGUUUUAUAGUAUCGGUGCGAGUUCGUUUCCAGUGCAUUACUCGGGACGAAGAACGCACCAACACGUGCCACAAUCCAAAGGCUAUCGGAAUCAAACGAUCAUCGGGGCCAAUGAACUUCCAUAGGUCACACAAUGCAAAUCGCUGCCGCUUUAAGCACCGUGCUGUUGUAUAUAUCUAUAGUCUUACGAUUGUUCCGUAAUGUAAUACCGUGUCGGUCAUGCGUUUCAAAGACGCGAUAGGCCACCGAACUGGCAACAGUUGUAAUUAACAGCACAGGUACUUAAGUUUAAUAACCAUUGCGUUUAACUGUGUUU